This 255-nucleotide ribosomal RNA is filed under the name uncultured bacterium. RNAcentral's name for it is "partial 16S ribosomal RNA". It matches the Rfam family "Bacterial small subunit ribosomal RNA", at positions 524 to 776 of the family's 1533-position model. The record is from RNAcentral.
UACGUAGGGUGCGAGCGUUGUCCGGAAUUAUUGGGCGUAAAGAGCUCGUAGGCGGUGUGUCGCGUCGGCCGUGAAAACCUGCAGCUCAACUGUGGGCUUGCGGUCGAUACGGGCAUCACUGGAGUUCGGCAGGGGAGACUGGAAUUCCUGGUGUAGCGGUGAAAUGCGCAGAUAUCAGGAGGAACACCGGUGGCGAAGGCGGGUCUCUGGGCCGAUGACUGACGCUGAGGCGCGAAAGCUGGGGGAGCGGACGGG